RNAcentral lists this ribosomal RNA (496 nucleotides) under uncultured bacterium. Its description in RNAcentral is "partial 16S ribosomal RNA". It matches the Rfam family "Bacterial small subunit ribosomal RNA", at positions 28 to 506 of the family's 1533-position model. The record is from RNAcentral.
GAUGAACGCUGGCGGCGUGCCUAAUACAUGCAAGUCGAGCGAACAGAUGAUGAGCUUGCUCCUCUGACGUUAGCGGCGGACGGGUGAGUAACACGUGGAUAACCUACCUAUAAGACUGGGAUAACUUCGGGAAACCGGUGCUGAUACUGGAGAAUAUAUUGAACGGCAUGGUUCAAUAGUGAAAGACGGUUUUGCUGUCACUUAUAGAUGGAUCCGCGCAGCAUUGGCUAUUUGGUAAGGUAACGGCUUACCAAGGCUCCGAUGCGUAGCCGACCGGGGAGGGGGAUCGGCACCCAUGAAAGUGAGCAAGGGCCCAAAUCCCAAGGGGAGGCAGCAGGAGGGAAUCUUCCGAAAUGGGGGAAAGCCUGACGGAGCAACGCGGGGGGGGUGAUGAAGGUCUUCGGUUGGAAAAACGCUGUUAUUAGGAAAGAAAAAAUGUGUAAGUAACUAUGCACGUCUUGAGGGUACCAAAGCAGAAGGCCACGGCUAACUACGU